UUACGAUCUGACGAGGGAGAAUCCCGUUAAUCGUCUGACUCAUCUUCUCCACUAAUGACUGAGGGGAGGACUGCAGUUGUGGGACUCCUAAGCAGGAACAGACCCAAGCCACGAGACAUGAGACACCAGGCAUGGGACUAGGGGAGGAGGGGACAGACGAUGCUAAGAGGAGAGAAUUAGAGGGAGGAAGAGCGAAAGAAAGACACUCUUUCAGCUCCAGUCAUUAGAGGACAGAAAGAACGUCAAUGAAGAUAACAAUGAAGCCAUUUGCAACAGCAGUGUGAGUGUGACACCGGAGAGACAGAGACUGGACAGCACAGUAGCCACACUAGAUGAGAACUAUUACAGAUCUGCUCACUCACACGGGCAACCUACGAGCUGGGCGACACCCUCCAAGAAAUACCAAUGAAAUAUGCUCAAGCUACCAUCCUCAGAGAGAAGCGUUAAAGCAGUGCACAACAUUGGACAAGCCUAAAACAAUGGGGAAGACUAGCGUUACUACCCUUUUCCGAUCACAGCUCUCAGACACCACCCUUGGUGUGGACAUUCUAACUUUCGCCAUCAGAGCUCGCCUUCAAGCCCUCCUGACGAAGUAGGACCUGGCCACCUGGUCUUCGUCCAGCCAAGGCCCACACUGCACCCUCCCCUCUACCACCCAUGACAGUGAGACAACUGCGCAUGCUCUAAAUGGCUGCAGUUUUUACAAAAGCCUUUACAUAGCUAGGCAUGAUCGGCUGGUGGUGGACCUGGUGUCACAAAGCAUUAAAGACGUUCACAAGUGGACUGGUUCAUCGACGAGAAUAGAGGCAAUAACUCUUUGCGCAAACACCCCAGCCAUGUGGACAAUGGACACUUGUUUCACCUGCGAGUUGCUGAAAUUGCAGUAUCACAACCCAUGGUUUUCACUGUGUUUGGGAAUCUUGGGCAUGUACAUAAACAGGUUUUACGUGGAUUGAAGCUGGGCGAGUUAAGCAAGACUAAUGCAAAAAGACUAGCAAAGUUGCGCUUGAUUUCUGCCAUUACUGGUAGUGCGUCUAUCUGGAGACAGCGAUGUCAUGUCUACCCAUAAUCACUAGAGUCGGACUGAUGAUGGAGGGGUAGCACAAGCAUUCUGUGUCUGAUCCAUAUCUGUACAAAUCUGCAACAUGCUUCCAUGUAAUGUUUGGAUCAGUAAUUCUUUGUCUGUGUUAAAAUACAAGUAUUAGUGUGUGUGCGUGCAAGGGAAAAAAAGGGGACAGAAGCACUGUUAUUCAGCUCAACCGCAUAGCAAUUAGCCUCAUCCUGUAGGGGGUGACCUCCCACUUCACCCUUGACCUUUGCGGAGCGCAUGGAGAACACGCGUGGUAGACGGCCUGCUGACAGAUAGGCUGGGGGCGGGGGACACAGAGCCAUGGGACACCGUCCCUGUCCUAGAGACGCCUGUUCAGGGUGACUUUCACAGCGACUGGGCUAUUCCCGAGUCAGCUAAACACAGUUAAAGGUACAGUCCACGAUUCUAAUCCCAUACACUUUUUGUCAAAUUCAGCAAAUUGCUCCUUGCAAUUCCCUAGAUGCCAGUCUGGUGCGUGGGCUCAAAAGCACUAUGGUGUUUGUACAGUCCUGCCAAAGAGGCUCGGACCGAGUCAUGUGCUACUCCAGCCAAUCACCCCCUUGCUUCAGUAGCGUGGAAGAAAGAGGUGUAACUGGAUUGGCUAGUGACUUCGCAUAUCAACAACCUUUUCAUCAUAAUUGCACACUGUGCCUUUAACAGUAACUGGCUGUUUUCCCCUACUCAUAAUCUGCCGUUUUCAAAUGGACACUUCAGGCCUUCUAAAUCCUGUUUUUUGGCUGUACUCAGAAGCUCAUUAAAAUGUACAUACCCAUAAUGCAAUCUCAAUUCCUUUCUAAAUGGCAGCCAAAAACAUUCAACAAUUAUCUGAACUAAGUUUUGAAAAACAAAAUGCAUUUGGAAUCUUUUGCCGAUUGAUCCAUUGUUGUGUUCUUGCAGAGAAACAAACGUUUGUCGCACAAACGACCCUUCGCACAGCAGAGCCUGUGUGGGCGAAAACAAAUCUCUCCCAUUUGAACAGGCCGAGAACCAAUUAUAGACGGCUCCUGCUGCUGAUAUUGGUUAAGGCUGCCGUCUACAUCACUCAAUCUUUUUGCCUCUCUCUCGCUCGUUCUUUCCUGUCCCUUUAGAUCUCUUCACCGCCGUCUGCAUCUACUUCCUCCUCUCAUUUCUCUCUCUCUCUCUGUCUCUCCCUCCCGCAUACUGUGGCAGAACGGAGCUUGCAGCAUAAGAACAACCUUGUAAGGACAAGCUCUAAGAAAACACACACACACGCACACAAUUCCCACUGAAAACCUGUAUUUAUCGCUAUUCUACCAUGAUGGGAAUGGGAGCCAAACUCUAACCGUUAAUCCAUCCCCUGGCGACCUGGUAUCAUAGCUAAUAAUCAAAUGCCACAGCUCGACAGUGUGAAUGCGAAACACAAGAUUGCGUUGGGGGGGGGGGGGACUUCUCCCCCUUCAUUGAGUAAGCCCUUGCCCCACUGAUCACUGAUGGCAGAGUAAGUAAUUGCCCCACUGGUGUUCCGUUAUUUCUCUCAGGAUUGUUUCAUGUCUAUGUGAAGCCACAAGUGGUUCUGAUCACUUUGAACCCAAGACUGCCUUUUAUGGGGAGCUGAUUUUGAGAAAUUAAACAUUGCUUCAGGUUAUACAGCAAACGGUGACUGCUAGUUGCUAUGGUUGCUGCUACGCUAACUAAGGAAACAUUUAAAUAACCUUAAACCGUUUAAAUCGCAGAGUUGCAUUUGCAUGAAAUGGUAGCUAGUUAUCUAGCCGACAAUAUAGUCUCCCCCAGUUUUACUUAUAAAAUGACAGUGGGCAAGAGGAUGCCUGUGCAGCUUCUCUGCUUGGCACGCAAAUGACUGUUACAUAAGUUUCAUUUAUACCAUGGCUUUGUUGAAUCUCCAACUGUGACACAUUCCUUAGAAUUCUCUCAGAACAUGGAAAUUAUAUCCAGAAAUGAUUAUAAUGCAAGUGAGGCAGCAGGACAAUGGAUUUCACAGCGUUCAGGUAGCAGAAAUGAACGCACUUCGAGGGGCACCGGCCACUCUGCUUUGCAUCGUGGCUGUACUACCACCUCGAACGUGCAUUAAAUUCUGCUACCCGAACUCCGUGUCUCAUACAUGCCUCUCCGUGUCUCAUACACGCCUCUCCGUGUCUCAUACACGCGUCUCCGUGUCUCAUAAAUGCGUCUCCGUGUCUCAUAAAUGCGUCUCCGUGUCUCAUAAAUGCGUCUCCAUAUCUCAUACAUGAGUCUCCGUGUCUUACUAUCUCAUACAGAGACUUUGCUUCAUAUUAACACACCCUACCAAUUGCCAACUGCUAAGAUGGUUCCCCAAGCUGAUGAUAGCUAGGAUAGUUCUUAGGUAGGUCAACUGGCAUGAGAACCUGCAUGUUUUAGACGUCUCGUGGAGGAUCGUACUCCCUAGCAUCCCGUGUACAUCUACAGUCUGGUGGGAAUACACAACACAUGUUACUUCACCGUUACGGAAGACGGAGUGUGAAUGAUUGAAUGUUACCUGUUCUGUAUUGUUUUUACUUUACAGGUUUUAUAUGUGUAAAAGGGAACAAAGAGCACCUGCAGUGUUGGUUUGACAAAUGCUAUGAUGGGGAAAAGCCACCGAUUGGUCCUUUUUCUGGAUGAAAAGCUGACUGACGUGAGCCACCAGCUCCUGUUUUUAGAGCCCGACGGUGGAGGAAAUGCACCUGGUCUUCACCAGCUCCAGGGCUGGGGGACAUUUACACACGCCAUCGCUCCAUCCGUCCACUGGAACUCUGCGAGGCUUUGGAAAUGCCUAGUCUAUAAUCUAUAAGAGUUUUCCGAACACCAGGGAAAACAGUAACUCUAUUACUAAUGUUACUGACAAAGUAUUGGAUGAAAGAAGAGGAGAGGUAGGAGAUGAGGGGGGACUGAGAGGAAGGAUGGUUUCUAGGCUCACUGUUCACUCAGACCAUUUAACUUUAGACAGUGUGUCAUCUGUGUGUGUGUGUGUGUGUGUGUAAUACUGUACGUGUGUAUACCGAGCGGAGAGAGACAGAGAGAACGAAAGAAAAGUGUGAGAGAGCAGAGAAGGAGUGCUACUUAUUUCCCACCAUGAGUGAAACCACAUAACCACAGACUGGCCUCCUACUGCACAUGACCUGCUGCUGAAAUAUUUACCACUGCUGCAGCAGCACUGAGGCUGAGCAGCUGAGUGACUGUGCAGAGUCUAGCCUGUGUGUGUGGGUGUGUGUGUGUGUGUGUGUUCUGUGGGGGGGGUUCCCUCUCCUCUGGUGGCCUGUGUGGUGGAAGAAAAUAUUGAUACACUUGAGUAUCAAAUGUUUUGUGACACUCUAUCGACACACGAUCAAUUUUUAACUAAUGGUUUACAUGCAAAGACUUGCAUCAGACAGUGGUGCAUUUUGGGUUUAAAACCCCCCAACCGCUAGACACCAGUGUUCUUCCACUCCAACGUCAUAAUGCAUAUGGUGGUGUGUUAUUUAGCAGUUUAGCGCGUUCUUAGAGUUUUUGCACUAUAACGCCUUGCUCACAGUAUGGCAGUUGUUGCAAUAUAAUGGUAACCUUUGUAUCAUGAUACGUGUUGUAUUGCCAGAUUCUUGCCAAUGCGCAGUCUUAGUGGUCAAGCAGCCAAGCCUAAAGCCCAGUUCACACCCAAGAUCCACGUCCAAGAAAAAAAAUACUUGUAGAAAAUGACAGGGGUUAGAUAGCCACCACACAAUAUCUCAAGACAACUGACGUGACGGCUUGCAAGCAGAUUCUUCCUCUCAAGUCAAUAUUUUUGAAAAGCUGCACAGGAAUUCCUAUUAUGCAAAUGACUUAUAGGUUAUAGGCUAAGUGGCUGCAAGUGCUUGCAACUUGUGUAAUUGCAAAUUAUUGUCCUAAAUAGUCCAUAAACCACCAUCAUAAUAAAUAAACGGCACAUUGAGCUGAAAACGCAAGCACUUACAACUCAGUCCGUUCAUCAGCAUUGUCACACCACUAUCACACCAUCACGCUACUGCUGGCUCUUUAAGCGCAGUACAACCUGUAUCACAACCUGUAAAGUGCAGCUCGUCAUGGAACUGAAACUGCUGAGCUAGGCACCCGCAGAAAACACCUCAACAAUCCACAGUGAGUCUUACACACUUUAAACCUUCUCUUGUCCUUCACCUGGAGAAUAAGUUCUCCUGUAAAGCCCUAUUUAAGCUUCAGUGGAGCUAAAUGCUGUUUAUUUGGGCUGUGUGUUUACGUAUCUGUUUAUUUGAACUAUUUGCUUGUUUACUUGGGCUAGGUGUUUUUUUUUUUUGAACGGCACAUAUUCCGCUGUGGUUUUGCCAGGCACUCAUGAAGCGGGCUUUGAGAGUGGAAACAGAGCGCGGUGAAACCCCUCCCAAAAAUAGCCCCGCCGGACCCCGGAACUUCCCGCCACAAGGGAACUGUUAAGUAAAUG
Clupea harengus (Atlantic herring) is the source of this 5477-nucleotide long non-coding RNA. The record is from Ensembl. Lineage: Eukaryota; Metazoa; Chordata; Actinopteri; Clupeiformes; Clupeidae.